CUCAAAGGAAUUGACGGGGUCCCGCACCAGCGGUGGAGCAUGGGGUUUAAUUCGAUGCAACGCGAAGAACCUGACCUGGUCUUGACAUCCUGCGAACUUUCUAGAGAUAGAUUGGUGCCUUCGGGAACGCAGUGUCAGGUGCUGCACGGCUGUCGUCAGCUCGUGUUGUGAAAUGUUGGGUUAAGUCCCGCAACGAGCGCAACCCCUUUUGAUAGUUAACAUCAUUAAGUUGGGUACUCUAUUA
This 244-nucleotide ribosomal RNA is filed under the name Francisella tularensis subsp. holarctica. RNAcentral's name for it is "partial 16S ribosomal RNA". It matches the Rfam family "Bacterial small subunit ribosomal RNA", at positions 900 to 1145 of the family's 1533-position model. The record is from RNAcentral. Lineage: Bacteria; Pseudomonadati; Pseudomonadota; Gammaproteobacteria; Thiotrichales; Francisellaceae.